Molecule: ribosomal RNA, 518 nt
Filed under: uncultured Bacillota bacterium
Lineage: Bacteria; Bacillati; Bacillota
Description: uncultured Firmicutes bacterium partial 16S ribosomal RNA
Source: RNAcentral
GUACCGCGGCUGCUGGCACGUAGUUAGCCGGGGCUUCCUCCUAUGGUACCGUCAUUUGUUUCUUCCCAUAGGACAGAGUUUUACGACCCGAAGGCCUUCAUCACUCACACGGCGUUGCUGCAUCAGGCUUGCGCCCAUUGUGCAAUAUUCCCCACUGCUGCCUCCCGUAGGAGUCUGGACCGUGUCUCAGUUCCAGUGUGGCCGAUCACCCUCUCAGGUCGGCUACAGAUCGUCGCCUUGGUGAGCUGUUACCUCACCAACUAGCUAAUCAGACGCGGGCCCAUCCCAUACCGAUAAAUCUUUAGCUUCUGUGUCAUGCGACACUAAAGCCUCAUAUGGUAUUAAUCACCGUUUCCAGUGGCUAUCCCUUUGUAUGGGGCAGGUUGCCCACGCGUUACUCACCCGUCCGCCGCUUUCCUUCAUUUCACUUGGACCGAAGUCCGCAUUCCACAAAUUCUCGCUCGACUUGCAUGUGUUAGGCACGCCGCCAGCGUUCAUCCUGAGCCAUGAUCAAACUC